This 735-nucleotide long non-coding RNA is filed under the name Homo sapiens (human). RNAcentral describes it as "HSALNT0385607". Lineage: Eukaryota; Metazoa; Chordata; Mammalia; Primates; Hominidae. The record is from RNAcentral.
AAUUUACAGAUGUCAAAUAAUAGGCUAAUUUGUCAUAAUGUUCUAGUUUAAGAUAAUUCCUAGGCUGGUCUCAAAACUCCUGACUUCAAGUGAUCUGCCCACCUCAGCCUCCCAAAGUGCUGGGAGUACAGGGAUGAGCCACUGAGCCGAGCCAAUUUUGCUUGUUUUAAAGGGUUGUUUUUUUUUUUUUUUUUUUGAUAGUCAGUAAUUGUUCAAACUAGGAAUUGUAUCCCCAUCUUUCUUUUUUCAUAAUUACUCAGGUAAUUGAUGAGUGUAACAGAAGCUCCUCAAAACAGUUUUAUUAAAUUGCCUUUCAUUUUUUGUGGUACGUGCUUGAUCAUGAAUUUGUACAUAUUCUUUUGUAGGUAACAAUUCAGGUUUUAAACCAGCUUAUCCAAAAGAUUCGAGAAGACCUCCCGAAUCUUGAAUCCAGUGAAGAAACAGAGCAGAUUAACAAACAUUUUCAUAACACACUGGAGCAUUUGCGCUUGCGGCGGGAAUCACCAGAAUCCGAGGGGCCAAUUUAUGAAGGUCUCAUCCUUUAAAAAGGAAAUAGCUCACCAUACUCCUUUCCAUGUACAUCCAGUGAGGGUUUUAUUACGCUAGGUUUCCCUUCCAUAGAUUGUGCCUUUCAGAAAUGCUGAGGUAGGUUUCCCAUUUCUUACCUGUGAUGUGUUUUACCCAGCACCUCCGGACACUCACCUUCAGGACCUUAAUAAAAUUAUUCACUUGGUA